AAGAUUGCGAUGAUGAGAAGAGUAGUAAAAGAAUCAUUCUAUAAGAGAGCUAAUACAUGCUGAAAGUUAGCGUUUGUGAAUUUUAUGAAGAUGGUCUUAGAGCAUGUUUUUUGAGCCAAGAUAUUGGUUAGGGAAAUACGGGCGCAACCGUUAUAUUGCAGGGUGAUGAUGGUCACCUAAUAAGUUAUUCAUUGUGAAGUGAGUAAGAAAUAGAGUGGUAACACGUAUAAUGCGUCUCUAUA
This 242-nucleotide non-coding RNA is filed under the name Clostridium saccharoperbutylacetonicum. Its description in RNAcentral is "T-box sequence". It matches the Rfam family "T-box leader". From Rfam's summary of the family: Uncharged tRNA acts as the effector for transcription antitermination of genes in the T-box leader family. T-boxes are found upstream of many aminoacyl-tRNA synthetase genes and some amino acid biosynthetic genes usually in Gram-positive bacteria. Lineage: Bacteria; Bacillati; Bacillota; Clostridia; Eubacteriales; Clostridiaceae. The record is from RNAcentral.